UCCGUAGGUGAACCUGCGGAAGGAUCAUUACCGAAAUUGUCUUAUGACAAACCACUGUGAACUGUACACAUUCAGUGUGGGGUAGCCUUGAGCUUUAAAUCGAUCAUAGAUCAGCCCCACACACAUUGAAAACCUUAUUUAAACUACUUUCCUUUAAAACUUUGCAGGCUUUUAGUCUCAAAGUAGUGCCAAACGUGACAACUUCUAACGGUGGAUCUCUUGGCUCGUGUAUCGAUGAAGAACGUAGCCAGUUGCGAUAAGUAGUGUGAAUUGCAGAAUGAAGUGAAUCAUCGAAUCUUUGAACGCAAAUUGCACUCUCUGGAUAUCCGGGGAGUAUGCCUGUCUGAGUGUCGUGUCAAACCUAAACACACUUGUGUGUUGCUUGAGAGCUCUUUGUACUCGGUGCAAAGUCUCUUGAUGUACGUAGUGGGUUGUUCGCGCUAGUGAACAGAAGGCUCAACUUGCUUCUGUCUUUCUGACACUAGUGUAGAACACAGUUUGUUAGUUUGCAUAAUAGCAAACAUACUUACAUCUUUGACCUCAGAUCAGACAAGAUUACCCGCUGAAUUUAAGCAUAUCAAUA
This 583-nucleotide ribosomal RNA is filed under the name uncultured eukaryote. RNAcentral's name for it is "eukaryotic LSU rRNA". The stretch from base 200 to 353 matches the Rfam family "5.8S ribosomal RNA". The record is from RNAcentral.